This 226-nucleotide ribosomal RNA is filed under the name uncultured bacterium. RNAcentral describes it as "partial 16S ribosomal RNA". It matches the Rfam family "Bacterial small subunit ribosomal RNA", at positions 568 to 796 of the family's 1533-position model. The record is from RNAcentral.
UGCGUAGGCGGAUUAAUAAGUCAGUGGUGAAAUCUUUCGGCUCAACCGAGAAACUGCCAUUGAUACUGUUAAUCUUGAGUUCGGUUGAGGUAGGCGGAAUGUGUAAUGUAGCGGUGAAAUGCUUAGAUAUUACACAGAACACCAAUUGAGGCAGCUUACUAGACCGACACUGACGCUGAGGCACGAAAGCGUGGGGAGCGAACAGGAUUAGAUACCCUGGUAGUCC